Molecule: long non-coding RNA, 1488 nt
Organism: Caretta caretta (loggerhead turtle)
Lineage: Eukaryota; Metazoa; Chordata; Testudines; Cheloniidae
Source: RefSeq, a predicted model, not a curated record
GUGGGGGAGAGCGAGUGAUGGAGGGAGGGGGGGAUGGAGUGAGUGGGACAGGGCUUUGGGGAAGGGGCAGGGCCUCAGGGAAGAGGUGGGGUAGAUCCUGAGUUACCCUUAAAUUCAAAAAGUGAUCUUGGGCAUAAAAAGGUUGGAGACCUCUGAUCUAGUCUGAGCACCCUGCCUGGCACAGGCCAUAGGAAUCCACGAAGUGAUUCCUGCCGUGUUUGUAAAGCACCACAAGUACUGAAAAAUACCUUGGGCUACUGAAAUGCAGCAUAGGCCCAAAGCUGGAAUCCGGCCAGGGCCCUGGCACCAACAAUACUCUGACAUGAGCCGAAAGUCCCAUCUUUCGCAAUCCCAAAUGAGUAAGGCACGUUUUAAAUCUACUUCAGAAAUGUUCACCGGGAGCUUGGGAACCCAGCUGGGGCAUUGGUUCAACAGUAUCCCAGGGAGAACAGCAUUCAGAGAGAACAGUAUUAACUACUGAAACUCCAGCUCCUCUUCUUGAACACCUGGGCUUUUCCCCCAAAGGUCUUCUAGCUAAGCACUGACUCAGCCUGAAGAUGCCUCGCUAAUGAGAUUUAGUAAAUCCACAGCCCAAGACAGAAUAGCUGCAGAGCACUAUUAAAUUAUAGAAAUCAGAGAUGGGAAAGAUGUAUUAGGUCAUCUCCCUGCCAAUGCACGAUUAGUUCAGAGGCAGGGGGCUUAGAAAUAACCUCAAAUACAGUUCAGCUGCAAUGGGGCAGGCAUCAUUUAGAGGCCAGCUAAUAUUUAGCAGAAAGAAGUUCAAUUAUGUUGGUCGCAGAUACUGUGGAACUGUUUGAUAGAGAUUAUAGCUCUGGGACAUCUACUGUGGAUAUUGUGGUUACGUGAAUGAUCCUGCACUAGCCUAUACAUGAGGGGUAGAGGGGUAUCAUUUUACGGUGGCCAAUGAGCACAGCUAGUCUCAAUCUGACCAGGAGGUGUCUCUGAGUGAACAGGUACAUCCCGGGGAACGCUCAAGAGACAAAAGCAUCACAGUGACUAGAGAAUCUAAGGAUGAGUGUAUAGGGCUGCAGAAUAGCAGAUACAUAUAGACGGUAUGAGGCAGUAUCUUAUUGGACCAACGUCUAUUGGUAGCCGGGACAAGCUCUCCAGCUUCGCAGAGCUCUUCCUCAGGUCUGGAGAAGGUGGUGUGCAGGCAUCCUCUGAGGACAAGGACUGAAGUACGCUGCUGAUUAUUUACUCAAGAGGAUGGCCCCGUGGUUAAGGCAAUAGCCUGCAACUUAGAACUGCUGAGGUCAAUUCCCUUCUCUGCUACAGACUGCUUGUGUGACCUUGGGUGAGUCAUUUAGGGCUAGACUUUUAAAGGUAUUUUGCGCCGGUUUUUAAAAAUUUGGCCUUUAGUCUUUCUGGGCCUCAAUUCUGCAUCUGUAAAGUGAUGAUAAUAGGUCUACGCUACCUCACAGUGGUGCAUGCAGAUAAAUACAUUAAAUAUUAGGAGGUGCUCAGAUA